This 223-nucleotide long non-coding RNA is filed under the name Elaeis guineensis (African oil palm). RNAcentral describes it as "long non-coding RNA (EGUI_LNC040449)". Lineage: Eukaryota; Viridiplantae; Streptophyta; Magnoliopsida; Arecales; Arecaceae. The record is from RNAcentral.
CAAGAAUAAAAUAUCAUUAUCAACUAAAGCGGUGCCAUAAAAUUCGUUAAAAUGAUAAAUAAAGCAACCCUUGUCCUUUCCUUUUAUUUUAAAAUCAUGUUCAAGUAAUAAAGAAACUGAAAUAAUAUUUUUAACAAUAUUAGGCAUAUAGUAACAAUCUUAUAAUUUUAAAAUUUUGUUUGAAGGCAACUUCAACAGCAAGGUGAAGAAAAAAAUCCAAUUC